This 411-nucleotide unclassified non-coding RNA is filed under the name uncultured Funneliformis. RNAcentral's name for it is "sequence contains 28S rRNA gene". Lineage: Eukaryota; Fungi; Glomeromycota; Glomeromycetes; Glomerales; Glomeraceae. The record is from RNAcentral.
AGUAAAAUAGUACGUGAAAUUGUUGAAAGGGAAACGAUUGAAGUCAGUCGUACCGACGAGAAAUCAGCUCUUUGAGUGCGAACUUGUGGGCGUGCGUGAGUCUUUAACGGGCCUCGCUGUUUGCAAUUUUGUGCUUUUUGGGUGUACUUUUUCGUAUGGUAGGCCAACGUCAGUUUUGAUCACCGUAAAAUGAUCGGAGGAAUGUAGCUUCGAUCUCGUAUUGAAGUGUUAUAGCCUCUGGUAGAUGCGGUGACCGAAACUGAGGAUUGCAACGAAUACCCUUUUGGGCUAUCCGUCUGGCCUCUGAAAGUUGCUUAGGUGCCGAAAGCGUGCUUACGGCUAUUUAAGUUGACGGUCAACAGGUUAGAACGUGAUUACAUUCGUUAAGGACGUUGGCGUAAUGGCUUUAAA